UAAGAAAUUAGUUAAUUUAUAACCUAUGCUUGUCAAGCAUAAAUAAUCUUCUAGAUAUUUCUUAA
Molecule: transfer RNA, 65 nt
Filed under: Pinnotheres pholadis
Lineage: Eukaryota; Metazoa; Arthropoda; Malacostraca; Decapoda; Pinnotheridae
Description: tRNA-Asp
Source: RNAcentral